GCCCCCCUGUCAACCGGCCUCCGGAGCCGUGUGCGCAGGUUCGAAUCCUGCCGGGGGCA
Molecule: transfer RNA, 59 nt
Filed under: Streptomyces sp. CB02400
Lineage: Bacteria; Bacillati; Actinomycetota; Actinomycetes; Kitasatosporales; Streptomycetaceae
Source: Rfam by way of RNAcentral